This 77-nucleotide transfer RNA is filed under the name Desulfatiglans sp. RNAcentral describes it as "tRNA-Arg". It matches the Rfam family "tRNA". Rfam says of the family: Transfer RNA (tRNA) molecules are approximately 80 nucleotides in length. Their secondary structure includes four short double-helical elements and three loops (D, anti-codon, and T loops). Further hydrogen bonds mediate the characteristic L-shaped molecular structure. tRNAs have two regions of fundamental functional importance: the anti-codon, which is responsible for specific mRNA codon recognition, and the 3' end, to which the tRNAs corresponding amino acid is attached (by aminoacyl-tRNA synthetases). tRNAs cope with the degeneracy of the genetic code in two manners: having more than one tRNA (with a specific anti-codon) for a particular amino acid; and 'wobble' base-pairing, i.e. permitting non-standard base-pairing at the 3rd anti-codon position. RNAcentral also lists the same sequence under 1 other name. Lineage: Bacteria; Pseudomonadati; Thermodesulfobacteriota; Desulfobacteria; Desulfatiglandales; Desulfatiglandaceae. The record is from RNAcentral.
GCGCCCAUAGCUCAGAUGGAUAGAGUGACGGACUACGAAUCCGCAGGUCGCAAGUUCGAAUCUUGCUGGGCGCACCA